This 496-nucleotide ribosomal RNA is filed under the name uncultured bacterium. RNAcentral's name for it is "partial 16S ribosomal RNA". It matches the Rfam family "Bacterial small subunit ribosomal RNA", at positions 28 to 506 of the family's 1533-position model. The record is from RNAcentral.
GAUGAACGCUGGCGGCGUGCCUAAUACAUGCAAGUCGAGCGAACAGACAAGGAGCUUGCUCCUCUGACGUUAGCGGCGGACGGGUGAGUAACACGUGGAUAACCUACCUAUAAGACUGGGAUAACUUCGGGAAACCGGAGCUAAUACCGGAUAAUAUAUUGAACCGCAUGGUUCAAUAGUGAAAGACGGUUUUGCUGUCACUUAUAGAUGGAUCCGCGCCGCAUUAGCUAGUUGGUAAGGUAACGGCUUACCAAGGCAACGAUGCGUAGCCGACCUGAGAGGGUGAUCGGCCACACUGGAACUGAGACACGGUCCAGACUCCUACGGGAGGCAGCAGUAGGGAAUCUUCCGCAAUGGGCGAAAGCCUGACGGAGCAACGCCGCGUGAGUGAUGAAGGUCUUCGGAUCGUAAAACUCUGUUAUUAGGGAAGAACAAAUGUGUAAGUAACUAUGCACGUCUUGACGGUACCUAAUCAGAAAGCCACGGCUAACUACGU